This 473-nucleotide long non-coding RNA is filed under the name Mytilus galloprovincialis (Mediterranean mussel). The record is from RNAcentral. Lineage: Eukaryota; Metazoa; Mollusca; Bivalvia; Mytilida; Mytilidae.
UGCAUGGUAGUGGUAGUGUCCACUACGAAAAGUUUUCUCCCAUACUUGUUUCGUAGGUGACCGUUUCGUAGGGGACUUAUUCCAAUGUUUUAUUUUCCCACAUUAAUCCUCAUGAUGCAAUAGUAACAAGACUGAUUGUAUUCAUCAAAGCAUGUAUUAAGCUGUACACAGACAUUUUUUUCAUAAUAUUAAAACCAGAUACUGAAGGAGAUUUGACCCGUUUCGCAGUGGACAUUAACAAAAAUACGGUAUCACUCUGGUCCAUUUGAUGUGCUCAAUUUUUCUUACCAACAAUUUAACUGCCGUUAUAAAAUUACAUUGAUUUUAUAAAACUGUUUACUAGCAAAUUUUAAUGACUUCGUUUCGUAGUGGACAUUUUGUCAGGGACACACCUUCUGAAAUUAAAAAUCCUAUUUUAAAAGCUGUUUAUUAAAAUAUGUUGGCUCUAAACAUACUCUUGAAUUAUUAAAGGG